Molecule: long non-coding RNA, 34011 nt
Organism: Anolis carolinensis (green anole)
Lineage: Eukaryota; Metazoa; Chordata; Lepidosauria; Squamata; Anolidae
Exons: 8
Source: RefSeq, a predicted model, not a curated record
UUGAGGCGAGCGGGGAGCGCGUGCUCUGCAGAGCACAUGGGCAGCAAAGCAGCCAAGGCAGCAACUCCAUUGCUCCCUCCGCCUUCCCCUCGCUGCACAGCCCAGGCCGUGGAAGCCUUUCCUAGACCCUUGUUUUUUUUUUUUUUUAAUUUAAAGGAUCCAUAUAUAUAUUUAUUUAUUUUUGCAACCGACUGCAACUUGGAUGUUUCUGGAGAACCUCCUCCUCCUCCUCCUCCCCCUUUAUCCGGCCUUGUUGUAGGGGAUGAUGGGUGGUCUCUGGGCUUCAGUUCCCAACCAAUCCGGGGGUUGCAGCAACAUCUCCAAGGUUGUGGGAUUUAUUGAAACACUCAGAAGACUCCUGAGAAUGUCAGCUGCAGACUAAAUGCCUUCAGGGGGAGGAAUUCAUUCUUUUGUACAUUUCACGAUUUGGUGCACAUGUAGCACUGAAGAUGGAUUAUUCUCUUAUUAUCACUGGAAUAUAUUUUUUUGGAAAAGGAAACACAACAAAAGCACGAAUCAUUCGAAUAUAAGGCUGCCCAAUCUUCUAUGUCAUGCAAGCAUGUUGCUGCCCAGAUAAUUGCAGAAGCAGUGGCCGAGGUUUGGAAUCAGAUCUGACACGGUGAAAUGAAAGACGGCAGCAGAUGCUGAGCGUAACAACGAAAGCGUAUGCACAGGAGAAACACAACAGGAUUUUUCUUUCUCCUUUCUUUCUUUCAAGCCGAUUUCUCCUUUCAGCAGCACCCUCUGAGCUAUCAGCUCACAACAUGAUGCUUACCUCAUCCAACAGCUUCAACCCAAAUCAAGCCAAAAUACCAAGGAAAUGAUUGUGGAUGGUAGAUAUAGAAUCCAUGGAUUCGAAGGACCAACUGCUCAUCUAAAUCAUAGGUGGAUUGGAGACCAAUUUCCCCACAACUCUCUUGCAGGUUGUUCCCAUACAAAUAUCUCCAUUUUCUUCUCCAUUUCCUCGUGAAAUUGUCACUGGAAGAAAUACUUCGUGAUACUUCAGUUUUGAGAAGGACCACAGAGAAAAAUGGAUGCUUUUGCAGAUUUCUGGAUGAAUUGGAUCUUUGAGUGCAACCUCACUAGAUAAGUAUUACAAGUCCUUCAUACUGGAGCUAAUAUUGGCAGGCUUCUCUGGAGCAAUAGAACUGGCCUGAUGCCCUUGGUUUCACUGAAGUCUGACUUGGGAACCCACCAGCACAGAAACAUCUUGACAGAGGGACGCAAGGAACAAUUAUGCCAGAUACAGCUUUCCCCACUAUUGCAUUCAUGUAAUGGGGACAGUUAUACCUUCCAGAAUAUUUCCUUGGAGUUAGAAAUUAUAAAUAAUACCAGGUCAGUGACUCAUUAACCUAUUGAUUGAUUAAUGUUUGAUUGUCCAGCACAAGUGAAACAACCCGGGGAAAGUUUAAGAAAGAGAAAAAAAACCAGAUGAAUAAAUCGUACUGUUGCUUAAUCCUAUAUCUGGCAGGGCCCAGUUGCAGGCAUGGCUGGAAAACUAUACAAUUAUAGCACUUUGAUUCAAUUUUAACUACCAUGGCUGCCUCUUAUGGAAUUCUGGGAUUAGUAGUUCGGGGGGCACCAGCACUCGUUGGUAGAGAAAGCUCAAGACUUUGUAAAACUUCAAUGGCCAGUAUUCCAUGUCAUUGAGCCAUGGCAGUUCAAGAAGUUUCAAAUUACAUUAAUUCAACAAUAUAGAUUCAGUCUAUGGUUUCUAGACUUAUACAUGAGUAUAUACAGUAGUCAGGUAUACUUAGUUAAGUUGCUUAAGUAGAAUUCUAAAUAGCUCUCUCUCAAGUACCAAUCCCAAGAUGCCAUAGGAUGGAACUGUGGCAGUUCACGUGGAUUGAUCGUGCUGCAUUUUUGUACUGUGGAUGGGCCUCCUGUUGUGCGCAUCUGAAUGGUGACCACUUGAUCCAGGGGCAAAACCAUAAAUCCCAGAAUCCCCCAGCUGGGGUCAAACUGACAGGGAAAUUCUGGGAAUUGUAGUUCAUUAGUGUUCCCAAGCUGAGCACUGAAUAGGUUUGUAUUUCUCAGAAUAUCCAAGUUGGAAUAUCCAAGCAUUUCAGUUUCUAAGUUUGGAACUAAACUACUUUGGUCACUCUUGUGUAAAGACAAAAGCCCAUAGGAAGAUGACUGAAAUAUAACUAUUCAGUAAUACCACAUCCGGCCCUAAAUGGAUCUUGAGUUAUUUCUUUCCUCCCUACUUUGUUGUCAGCUCAGACUACUGAAUUUUGGAGCUGCUGUUUGGAGCUGGCAUAAGGCCUGUCUUACCAUUCACUGGUUGGCAUUCCUGGCACAAGGUGAGCCCAACAGCACACCUUAGGCCAGAAUGUGAAAAUAGCAUCCCAAAACUGUAGCUGCUCUGCACUGGUAUUUGUUUCCUUUCCUCCAACCCUUCAAUAUAUUUUUGUGUGUGAGGUUUAACUUUGGGAUGCAUUUUUAUAUUCCUUCCUGGGAAAUCUUAUAAAACUUUUGUCUUUUCUGCCAUUCAUUGAUCUUGUGCUAUGACAGCAAUAGAAAUGAAACCUGCAUGAAAGAGCUAUAUCUGAUUACAUUCAAACAUUCAACUCGCCCCUUGUCAUUCUUUGUACCUGACUCUUAUUCUAAUUCAAAGCCUGACCAAAUUGCAAAGGCUUAAUUUGGAAGAUAUGGGGUGCAUCCACGUUGCAUCCAGUUAUAAAUGUGCAGAUGCCAUUUCUAACUGCUAUGGCUCCAUCCUUCAAAAACCUGUGAACUAUAGUUUUAUCAGGUACCUAGAAUUGUUUGUCAGAGAUUUUGGGUGCAUGUACACUGUAGAGUUAAUGAUGUUUGACACCAUUUGAACGGCCAUGUCUCAAUCCUGUGGAAUAUUGGGGGUUGUCAUUCGGUGAGGCAUCAGCACUCUUUGGCAGAGAAGGGUGAAGAUCUUUUAAAACCACAGCUCCCAUCAAUCCAUGGCAUUGGGCAUGGUAGUUAAACUGGUGUCAAACUGCAUUAUAUCUGCAGUGUAGGUGCUCCCGUUGUCUGUUUGUUCUCAUACUGCAAUUCAAGAAAUUCAGCAGAGUUUUGAAGGACCUCGUUGUUGGGUGCCAUCAAGUCAUUUCUAACUUACAGCAACCCAAAACUAAACCUCUCUCUGACUUAUGGAAAACUCAUGGAAACCUCUCUCUGAACAAAUAUUGCCAGCAAAAAAACCAUGAUAGCAUAGGCCAAUUAAAAAAAUCACGGGUUUUUCUUGGCAAUAUUUGUUCAGAGAGAGGUUUCCAUAGACUUCCUCUGAGGCCAAGAGACCCAAGGUUACCCAGUGUAUUUCCAUGACUGAAUGGGAAUUCGAAACAUCAGCUGCAUCUAUACUUACAAUUAAUGCAGUUUGACACCACUUUAACCGCCAGGGCUCAGUGCUAUAGAAUCCUGGGAUUUUAGUUUUACAGUGUCUUUAGUCUCUUCUACCAAAGUGUACUGGUACUUCACCAAACUACCAAUCCCCUGAACAGAAGUAUUUGCAGUGGCAAACUAUGAUGGGAACUCUUAAUAAAUAUGGAAAAGUAUUUUUUGGAACUAGAACUCCUUGUGUUGCCCCCCAUAGUACCAACCUUCCUUGGGCAGGAGGAAUGUAGAUUGUGGUUUGGGGCAAAGAUCCUACAUCAAAGAGGGCUGUCCCUUUGGGAGAGUUACAUUUGGGGGGAAACACACGAGUAAGGGACUGUCCCCUUGCUGUGCAGAAAAGAAGCCGAUUGUUAAUAACUGCUUGCCAGAAUAAUGAAAUAUUUAUAAUACUCUUUUCUUCUUUUGACUGUUCUAUUUCAGGAUGGAUCUGUAAGAAGAUUUAUUGAAAAACAAAACCUUUUUGAAAAAAGAUAAAGAUGAUUUGACUGUUACUGGAUUUGCCUAUUAGUAGAUUAGCAGUAAUUGAAAUAAGUGUGUAGUAGGGGAAACUAGAGAUAUUUAGAUAAUAUUGUUAUAUAUAAUAAUUGAUACACAGUGCUUCUUUUUCGUCAUCAUCCUUAUAUUCAGUAUGGAAGAUAUUUAGAAGUAUCCAUUGUAGAAAAUGUAGGUUUUUUUCUCUUUCUGGUUCGUUAGUUUAUUGUACUUUCUUUUAAAAAAUAAUGGAAAUAUAGAGUGAAAAGAUAUGGGCCUAUUUAUAAUUUUCAGUAGUUAAAAAGAAUUUAAGUUUUGUGGGCAAAGGGAGAGAGAUGAUUGGACUCACGGAAUAGUCAUAACAGUGGUUCAGGGCAGAGGAAGAUAAGGUAAGAUAGGACAGGAUCAUGGGGAAAGAGCCUCAAUUGGGUGUUGGUUGUUCCUAAACUGUACUUUGUUCUGAAUAAACUGGUUGGCUGCAGUAGUAGCCCCUGCCCUGGAUUGAGAAUGCUGCUGCUUAAGGCUAGGUUGCACCUGUUCUGGACUUGAACCUGUAUGAGCAUGAUGCUGCUCCAAUGUCAAAGAGACCUGGUUAGAUGAGGCUAGGAGGCUGGUUAAUCUCUUUGAUUUGCACACCAGGUUUCUCUGUGUUGCAGCAGAUGAGAUUAAGAGAUGGGGAGAUACAAUGGUUUAGUGCAGGGGUCCUUAAACUUUUUAAGCCGAGGGCCGGUCCACAAUCCUUCAGACUGUUGAGGGGCCGGAUUAUCAUUUGAAAAAAAUACAAACAAAUUCCGAUGCACACUGCAUAUGUCUUAUUUGUAGUGCAAAAACAACAACAACAACAAUGAAAGAACAAAACAAUAUUUAAAAAUAAAAUUUUUUAACCAACAUACAUUUUUCAGGAUUUCAAUGGGAAGUGUGGUCCUGCUUCUGGCCAAUGAGAUAGUCAAGUUAAUUAGGGUUGUUGUUGUUGUUGUUGUUGUUGUUAUGUGCCUUCAAGUCAUUUCAGACUUUGGGUGAGCCUAAGUCUAAAAUUUAUUUAUUUAUUUGCUAUAUUUAUUUACUACAUUUGUAUCACACCCUUCUCACCUCAAAGGGGACUCAGAGUGGCUUACAAAUUAUAUGUACAUACAAUAUAUUAUAUUAUUAGCAUAGCACAAUAUUAGCAUUAUAUAUUACUAUAUUGAACUAUACCACUAUAGUAAAGGUAAAGGUUUCCCCUGAUGUUAAGUCCAGUCAUGUCUGACUCUGAGGGUUGGUGCUCAUCUCCAUUUCUAAGCCGAAGAGCCGGUGUUGUCCAUAGACACCUCCAAGGUCAUGUGGCCGGCAUGACUGCAUGGAGCACUGUUACCUUCCCGCCGGAGCGGUACCUAUUGAUCUACUCACAUUUGCAUGUUUUCCAACUGCUAGGCUGGCAGGAGAUACCACUAUACUCUAAUAUUAUUAGUAAUAUUAUAUGUAAUAUAGAAUAUAUCAUUAAUAUUAUUAUAUGGUAUUAUUAUUAGUGUUAUAUUGCAUUACAUUAUAAUAUUAUUAUCAAUAUUAUAUGUAUAUAUAUUAUAUUAUAAAACUGAGGGCGGGGGCCAGGUAAAUGACCUCGGAGGGCCGCAUCUGGCCCCCGGGCCUUAGUUUGGGGACCCCUGGUUUAGUGAUUCCAUCUCCUUGACUAUCCCACAAUCUGUAGGAUUUGAGUGUAUUUAAAGAUCGAAGAGCCAUUGAAUCCUCACUUGGAUGUGAAAACCCACUGGGUGAGAUCACAGGAUCUCAGCAUGUGAUAGGUUGGUUUAGAGCAGGCAUGGCCAAACUUUGGCCCUCCAGUUAUUUUGGACUUAAACUCCCAUAAUUCCUAACAGCUGGUAGUGGGAGUUGAAAUCUAAAACACCUGGAGGAAUGAUGUUUGCUCAUGCCUGCAACAACAUCAACAAUGAUUUAAAGCUGGGUGGUCAGGACAGAUUGGACAAUGCGGUUGCUGUUGCCCGUUUUUGGUCUAAAACUAUUUAGUUGCUUGUGAUUUCCUUUUUUUCAUCAUUUUAAAAUUUAUUUGUUAUGCAAUGCUUUUGACACGAAAUAAAUAAAGGUCAACCCUGAAUAGUACUUGGAUGGUAAACUGACAAUGAUUAGGUUUUGUAAGCUAUAUUUGAGAGCAAUGCAAAACUAUGUCUUUAGUCUUCUUUGCCUAAGGAAACCCUAUGAAAAUCAUGAUGUUGCCAUAAAUUAACAGGCAUAUUUAAGUCUCACACACACACAGACACAAAAAAGUUUGUGAUGGCAUUGGUUUUCACAGAAGCUCCCCUUCCUCAAAUGCCUAGGCUGUUAUCGUUAGGUUGAGAUAUACGGAGGGGCGGAACUGUGAGUAGCGAGGUCAGGCGGAAACGGAAUGCAAAAAAGUAUAGAUAAUGUCAAAUCAAUAUGAGCUUGGAUAGAUGUAAAGCCCGUACAGUGGCCUUUUGCAAUAUCAGCGAUAGGAGAUAAUGCAAUCAACUUAAACAACAAAGAGUCAGUCUUUAAGGUGGCACAAGACUGUAGUUAUUUUUACUGUCGUGAAAUAACAGAGCCAGCCUUCUGGCAAUCAUUAAACAUCAGUUUACUCAUGCUGAGUCAUUGAAUAUCUGCAGCGGGGACAGGAAACCAUUAUCUUUGUUCAGACCGAAGUAAUUAGAACUGAAUUUUUUCACGAAUUGGAUUUUAACAUUUUCAUGCUGAAGCCUCUCUUUCAAAUUUCUUUGUUCAAGGAUUGCCACCACAAGGUCAAUAGCUGGGCCUUUACUUAGUCUGAAAUGAUCCCCCGCUGUGUUUUUUGAAUGUUAAAAUCCUAGAGGGAUUGUCCUGUUUAUCCUAUCUGGAAUGCAGAAGGGCAUUCUAGUACUUGGUGGCUUAGAAAAGCCACCAGAUUUCCAGAUCUGAUCAGUUUGUGACAAUUCUUGUACUGUGCGGAAAUUCAUCCAAUGACUUUUGCAGGUGUGCAAUGGGAUGCUUUCAGUUCAAGCAUAACGUUAUCUUAGAUCUCACUGAUUAGCCAUUUUGGACCACUGUCAGAUGUCGUCAGCCAGCCAACAUGGCAACUGAAUGUCCUGACUGGAAAAUUCUGGGGACUUUAUAGUUGGCCUUCCACUUGUGUGAGUCUGAUUUUUGUGGAUUGGAUUUUUUCUAAGUUCUCUGAUGCAAGUUUUUGGUCAAUUUCUGAUGGAUGAACCAUAGGGCCAUGCUGGAAGGCCUGGAGUCAUACUGGAGGAGCUGAAGUCAUGCUGGACCAGAAUCUAGAUAUCCACCAAAAGUUGAUCAUGGAGUCAUGUUGGAGGCCCUAGGCAUGGACAAACUUUAGCCCUCCAGGUGUUUUGGACUUCAACUCACAGAAAUCCCAGCCAUCUUACCAGCUGUUUAGAAUUGUGAGACUUGAAGUCCAAAACAACUGGAGGGCUGAAGUUUGCCCAUGCCUGCCCUAAAGUCAUGCUGGAAGACUGGAAGUUCACCAUAGAAUCAUGCUGGAAGACCUAGAAAUGUUGGAAGAUCUAGGGAAUAUCUCUAGGUCCUUCAGUGUGAAUCUAUGCUCAGCUUUUGGUGGAUAUUGUUGUUAUUUAUACCUCAAUUUUCUCUCUGGCUUGAGACCCUUAGAGUGGUGCUGGAAAACCUUCCUAAAGAUCCCUAGAGAAGUGUUCUCAUGGUCCUAUGCCCCUAACCCCAGCAGAUGUGGAAGGCUAACUGUCGUCCAAAAUAAGCACAUAUCUCAAGUUCUAGUACAGACAGAAAGAUUUAAAGCAAACAGAAGGAGAUGUAUUGACAAUUAAACAGAUUACCAAAGCUAUUUUGCAGUCAUACCAUAAUAUCAUGCCAGAGAACCUAGAGAUGCUGAGGACCUAAGGAAAUCUCUCUAGUGAUCUCUAGGUCUUCCAGUGUGAUUCUAUAGUCAGCCUCCAGUGGAUGUUGACCAUGAUGGAGGGGAACUUAGAGAGUCCUAGAGAGAUUUUGCUAGGUCUUCAGCAUUUCUAGGUGCUGUUUCCUUAAACCUAUAGCACAGGAAUGGGCAAACUUUGGCCCUUCGGGAGUUUUUGUACUUCAACUCCUACAAUUCCCAACAACUUACUGGCUAUUAGGAAUUGUGGGAGUUGAAGUCCAAAUCACCUGAGGGGCCAAAGUUUGCCCACAUCUGCUGUAGCAGAUGUGGAGAGCUGACUAGUGCUUUUCCUGUAUGGCAGGGGAUUGGACUAGUUGACCCAUGUGGUUUCUUCCGACUCUGUUAUUAUAUGAUUCUAUGACUAAUCCAAAAUAAACAAAUCUCCCAAAUUCUGGUGCAGAUGGUUUGAAAGGUUUGACGCAAACAGGAGGUGAUAUAUUGUAAGGCAACCAAACUAGCAAAGUAUCUUUCCAGGAAAAUCACACUUUAUUAUUACCUGUGAUUCCUAUGCUGAUGCUGGCGAUCCGCAGUGUUGGAUGCCCAAUAGCUCUAGCCUGUUAUCAGUUGUGGGAGAUGUGCUGCAGAAUAUAGGAAAAAAUAUUCUUUUAGUGAAGGAAUGUGGGGAGCUUAUGCUUUCUGAGCCAUUCCCCACAGUUCCGCCCUUUGUAUGACAAGCAUCAACAGAGGAUUCAAAGGCACAUUGACUGGUGUUUAACUCUGUUUACCGAGUCCUUGGAGGGCAUGAGAGGUCAUUUUUCUGAAGGCGAUGAGGGAGCAGAGGGCAGGCGCAUAAAGAGCGAGAGGCCACAUGGGCCUGUCACAUUCCUUUCAUGAAAGGUAUCGGCAGUGACGGAAAUUUGACAGGAGAAUGAAAGAGGGGAGAUGGGGGACGGAGAAGCACACUGUCUUUUCAUCCUGCUGUGUGUCUUCCUCUCCGCAACCUCCUCCUGCAACAGAGAUGGCAGCUGAGAAAGUGAAGUGAAUGGGGAGGGAGGGAGGGAGGGAGGGAAAUGCAAGACAUCUUUUGAAUGGCUGCCAAGGUUGAUUUAAUUAGCUGCAUUGAAUUCAUUAACUUUUUUCCCUCUCUAAUGACGUGUCUCUGCUGUGAAGCGCAAAUUAGGAGUGGUGAGCCUUGGCGGAGCACGACGCUGACCUGCCAAAAGACCCAGCAAAGCAGAAAGAUUGACCUACUUUUUAUCAAAUCUGAAGGGAUCGCCUUUUAAACCUCUCCUUGGAUAGACACUAAGCUGCACUUCUUCUCUCCUCCUCCUCUCUCUCUCUUUUUUCUUUUGCUUCUCCACGCAAGGCUUUGCCUCCCUGCUUUUAAUCUCUCCACCGCAGCCUCAGGCUAAACCAGAAAAUCCGCACCUCUCAUCAUCAAAUGCAGCUAGGUUCCCCACACUGUCUCUCUCUCACACACACACCAUGUGGAGCUGACUUCAUGCACUGGCUCAUUGAGGACCUUUACAAGUCAGCAGGUUGCAUUCUGAGCUGACACACUCUAUGUGUACCAAGCAGCUACGUUUUUAUGGAGAUGGAUUUUGUUGGGCUCAGAUGCACACACAAAAUCAACGAGGGCGAAUUUCAGAUCGGGAUUGCCUCAAGAGAGCCCAGCAUGGUGUAGUAGUGGCUUGAGCAUUAGAUGGGGACACUGAGAGAUCAGGGUUCAAAUACCCACUCAACCAUGGGAACCCACUGACCUUGGACAUGUCACAUUCUGUCAGCCCCAAAGGAAUGAAAAGGCAAACCCCAUCUGAAAAACCUCUGCAAAGAUAAGCUGUGAUGGGUUCACCUUUGGGUCACCAUAAGAAAUGACAUGAAGGCACACAGCAAUAAAGACAGCAUUAAGAAUGCGAAAGGCCUUGCUAUGUGAUAGUGGAGUGGACUGUUGAACUGGGAACUGAGAGAUGGCCAGAGUGAGUCCCUACUCACCUGCGAAAUCCACUAGGUGACCUUGGGUUGGCUGCUCUUUCUUAGGGUGCAUAUACACAGUAGAAUUAGUGGAGAUUGACACCACUUUAAAUUCCAUGUCUCAGUGCUAUAGAAUCAUGAAAUUUCAUCAUCAUAGGUGAUCACUCGUGGCCAAGAAUGGUUGUUUUCCAAAGGUAGAGUCAUGUAGUAUAGUGUGAGGAGCCAGCGCUUUUUGGAAAAGAAGACCUUGCAAAACUACACUUCCUUGGAUUGCACAACAUUAAACAGUGAUGCUCAAAGUGACGUCAAACUGUAUCAGUUCUGCUGUUGAGCAGCUCUUAGCAGUUUGAAUCAAUUGUUCCAUGUCCUAAUCUCUACAGCAGUAGAAAACAAGCUUUUCCCUUGUCCAAUAUGACAUACUUUCAAGUACAGUAGAGUCUCACUUAUCCAACACUCGCUUAUCCAACGUUCUGGAUUAUCCAACGCAUUUUUGUAGUACGUGUUUUCAAUACAUCGUGGUAUUUUGGUGCUAAAUUUGUAAAUACAGUAAUUAGUACAUAGCAUUACUGUGUAUUGAACUACCUUUUCUGUCUAAUUUGUUUUAUAACAUGAUGUUUUGGUGCUUAAUUUGUAAAAUCAUAACCUAAUUUAAUAGGCUUUUCCUUAAUCUCUCCUUAUUAUCAAACUUAUUUGCUUAUCCAACGUUCUGCCGGCCCGUUUACGUUGGAUAAGCGAGACUCUACUGUAUUGUCUUCUCUCAAUGGUCUCUUCUCCAAGCUGAAUUUAUCAGCUCCCUAAGCCACUCCUUAAAGCUUAUCAUGUUCCCUCUCAAUUUUCUCUUCUUGAAGCUAAACGUACCCAGAUCUUUAAAUUCUCCUCAUAGGGCUUGGUUUCCGCAAAUUUUCCUAGCUUUUCAAUAGCCUUCCUGAGUCAUUGUGCCGAAAACUGGACACAAUAUUCCAGGCAAGGUCUGAGCAAAGCGGAAUAGAGUGGCACUAUUAUUUCCCUCAAUCUAGAUGUGAUACUCCUAUUGAUGUAGCAUUUUUCCUCAGGCAAAACUGGAGUGUGCCAUAGAACUAUCAACUAUUCUCUUUUUUUAAAGCCAUCUAAGACAAGGUGUAAACAUUUCACUUGGGUGUUUUGCUAUGCUGCCUUUUCUCAUUCGCAAUGAGUAUUGGAGUUGCGGGAGGUGUCUUGAAGCUUUGGCUUGCUGUUUUGAGAAUUCCACAAUACUUUGGGAUGGUAUUCUGUCUGCAUGAUCAGUUGUAUGUAUCUAUUAAGAUCCCAUGGGGCUCAGUUAUGUGUCCAUCAGAGCCAUUUGUGCAGCAGGCAACAAAUGGCCAAUCAUGCAGAGAGGAGUUAGCCUUCUUUUUUUCUCUGUCUUUGUGUCCCAAAUUCCUGGUGCACAAAAUGGAACAAGAGAGCUAUUAAUCUGUUCAAGCAAAAUAGCCGUAUUAGUUCAGUGCCUGCAGAAACAGAAGGCCUUUGGGAAGUAGAAGGAAGACAGAACAACAGUUUUGGUACCAAUAAAAAAUUACAAACUCCAUACACAUAUUUGACAAGUUCUGUCCAGAACAAACAGAACAAUAUGGGAACUGUUAUUAGUGAAACCUCAGACUUUAUUGAUUCCAUACUUUUAUGAUGCCCUUUAUGAAAUGUGUCUACGCAUGUGCCUUCAAGUCUUCUAUGGAGACCUCAUGAAUUUCAUAGGGUUUUCUUAAAUGAGGAAUACUCAGAGAUGGUUUUGCCAGUUCCUUCCUCUGAAAUCUAAUCUACAGCACCUGGUAUUUGUUGCUGAACUCCCAUCCAAGUACUAACCAGGGCUGACAGAUCAGAUGGGAUCUGGUGCCCUUAAGGCAGUGGUUCCCAACUUGUGAUCCGUGGACCACCCGUGGUCCACCAGAACUAAAAUAUGGUCCACGGCCUCACCGUUACUACUGCGGAUAAUAACACAGCCCAAUUAAAAAAAAUGUCUUGGUGUCUUUGUUUUUAGGCCUGUUCUUGGGGUUAUCAAAGGUGCUGAUUCAGAAAAUUGCAUUGGAUAGAUCACAUCAACUCUAGAUUAUUAAAUAUGGUUUACUGUGGGUGAGCAGAUGGCGACUACUGGAUGGCACAUGUUCUGUAUCAGAAACUAGAGUUGAUGUGGUAUAUCCAAUGCAAUCAGCACCCCAAAUAACCAAACCGAAUCUAAAAUUCACCAAAAACUGAUUCAUAACCCCUUUGGUACUAAUGUUGUAGAGUGGUCCUUUGUAAAAGUGGCCCCUGGUCAAAAAAAGGGUUGGGAACCACUGUCUUAAGGUGUUUUUAGCCAUCUUGUGUGAAGUAGUACUUCCUUUUGUCUGUCCUAAAUAGGUUUGCCAGACUUGAAGAGAUCUCCUGUGUCUUUCAUAGUUGUAUAAUUUCCAUUUCUGCCCAACCAUGAAAGGUACAGGAGUCUCCUCCCGUUUUUAAACUAGCAACUGUAGUUCCAAAUGCACUACCAGCCGAGUUUCAAGGGCUAACUCCCAAAUUUCUAUUUUUCCCCCACAGGGAGGAGCGGAUGUAUGUGCUUUCUAUCUGUCCAUCGCUGUAAGCUAUUUUAAAUAACAACAAAAACAAGAUUGUGUUAGGGGUUUUCUUUAAGCCUUAAAUUCCCCCCAGAUCGUAUAUACGCAAUUGGUCUUCACUACUAGAGUUAUUUGCUUUCUCCAUUGGAAUACCUUGCUUUGGUGAUACAAGGACUUCUACUGUAUACAUCUCUGAAAGUGGGCACCUAACCUCCAUAACUGAAGCUCUGUGGAGGACAUCAUAACUGUGUUCUUUCCUGAACAGCCUCCCUUUCAUCUAGCAAGCCUUGCAUUCCCCCAGUUUGCAUUACCAAAGAAAAGAAGCAAAAGGGAGUUUGGUGUUAAUUAUAUUCCAGAAGGUGACGAUGGCUUAGCGAGAGACCUGCCCUUACUGCUGGCUCCAAAGAUCUGCCUAACAUAAGACUUUCACAGAUUCCUCCUAACACAAGUCUUCUUUUCACUUGGGAUUUUUUUUUAUUGCUUCUAAACACCUCUCCCCCUUCUUAUGGGACUACAUGGUGCUUCGUUUCAGAUGGGCCCCAUGAAUUAACAUAUUGUACCUCCUUGCGGCUCAGGUAAAUUGCAUGCUCAGGUUGACCGCUGCUCAGACACAAAGCAUCCUUCACCAGUUUACAGGCCAGACUAUAAAAUAUCGUCAAAGAGCCCUCCACUUGGGAGAAAGGGCAUGGAAGAGAAAUGCCGUCAACAAAGGCAAGGCUGUCUAUAACUCAUUUAGGAAACUAGGCCAUGCUUCGGAAAAAUCAGAUUAACACUUGCGUUGGACAGAACGGAGGAAUGUCAGUCUUGGAGGAUUCGGAACAUUGACAUAAUAUUCAUGGCAGUUUCAUAAAACACUAAAGCCAGAAGAGACCCCCAAGGGCUAUAUAGACCAACUGGACAUGCAGGAAAAUGCAGUCAAAGAAGCCCCAGCAGAUGGCCAUCCAGCUUCUGCUUAAAGACCUCCAUAGAAGGAAACUCCACCACAUUCCCAUGGAGCGUAUUUCACGGUUUAACAGCUCUAACAACCAGCAAGUUAUUCCUGAUAUUUAGAUGGAAUCUCUUUUCCUGCAAUUUGAAUACAUUGCUCCAUUCCUAGUCUCUAUAGCAGCAGAAAACAAGCUUGCCUCUUCAAUGUGACAUGCUUUGAAAUAUUUAAAUGUGGCAGUCGUGUCCCCUCGCAGCCUUCUUCUACAAGCUCUAAACUGCUUCUCAUAGGGCUUCCAAACCAUUGCUUAUUUUGUUUGUUAUUCUCUAAAACAAGUUCUGACAUGUCAAUAUCCUUCUUGAAUUGUGGCUCCCAGACCUGGACACUAUAGUCCAGGUGAGGUUUAAGUAAAGCAGAAGAAAAUGAGACUGACUUCCCUCGAUACUGAAACUAUACUUCUAGGGCCUAGAAUCAUACUGGCUUUUUUAGUUUCUGCAUCACAUUGUUGACUCAUGUACAGCAUGUGAUCUGCUAAGGCCCCUUCUACACUGCCAUAUACAAUCCAGAUUAUCUGAUGUGAACUGGAUUAUAUGGUAGUGUAGACUCAUAAUAUAGUUCAAAGCAGAUAAUGUGGAUUAUCCGCUUUGGUAAUCUGGAUUAUAUGGCAGUGUCAAAGGGGCCUAAAAUUCCUAAAUCCAUUUCAUGUGUACUUUUGUCAAGCCAGGUAUUGCCCAUCCUAUUUCUGUGCAUUUCAUUUUUUAAAACCUAAGUAGAGCACCUUGCAUUUCUCCCUGUUGUCCUCAUGUCUAACCAUGUCUAGCCGUCCUGGUGGAGAAAAGGCAAAUAUAUGCUUUGAAAAUGGAUCAGACUGGGCUAUGGGGCUGGCCCCAUCAUUAGGCAGAAUAAGACAGUGAUCUAGGCUGGCAGCAACAAAAUGUUAGAGGAAAAAACAAUAUGCCAGGCAUCUUGCCUAGUGAGUUUGCUGCCUUCAGGUUUUGGUACAAGUUGCUUUUUGGGUUGCUUGACUGAAAAUUGUAGAAGACAUUUCAACACUUGUUGCCUGGUUGCAUUAUAAGCAACAGCUGCUGAAACUGUCUUCCAGCCUUUGACCAACCUUAUAGGUUGCAUUAAGUAGGAUGAGGACUGGAAAUGAGGAUGCGAGAGAGAACAUUUCGGUGUGUCAGCAGGCAAGUGCAUCCUUACCCUCCAAAACUCCUGCUAUUGGUUCAUAUGAUGGUCCAGGCUGUCUCUAAGGGUGCAGUCACACUGUAGAAUCAAUGCAGUUUGACACCACUUGAACUGCUAAGAGUUCAGUUCUAUGGAAUCAUUGGAGGUAUUAUUCAUUGGAGGAAUAUCCAAGGUAUUUAGUCCUCACUGUCUCAGCAAUGACAGGAUAAUGUUAUAAUAGCAUUUUUCACAAGGUUUUGUGAACCGCACAGUGUUUUCCAAACCCUGGUUUUCCAGGUGUUUGAGGUUUUAGCUCCCAAGCUCCAUGAAUUCUCCCCCCUCCUCGUUGUUGUUGUUGUUGUUGUUGUUGUUGUUGUUGUAAUGUAUUGCUUGUCCCUCUCUUUUUUCUCCUGGGAGCCCAAGUCCAAAACACUAGAGUUUUGAAAUCAUUAAGUUGGAAACUUCACUUUAUUAUUUAUGAGAAAAGCAGAAAUUGGUAACAACAGGUAUUUAACAUAUGAACAGGAAAGCUUUUUAUGAGGUUACUGCAUUUUUUUUUGGAUGUUUUAAAAUGUUUUUAUACUGGUUUUUAUUGUGACUUAAAAAACUGUUUAGGAAGCAGCUUUGGGUCCCACUCUAGAAGAAAGGCAGCAUAGAAUGCAAUUAAAAACGAGCAAGUUAAUAAAUCCUGCAUCAAAAUGCCACAUUUUGGAUGUCAGGUGGUUGGACUGAAUAGUCCUAGUGGUCUCUUCCGCCUCUGUGGGUUUAUGAUCCCUUUUAGCUUUGUGGCUUUUCCGGGCUUUAGCAAAAUCUUUGUAUGCCCUGAGUUCAGGUGCAACGAGACUAUGGAAUCAAAUUAAGCUUGUGCUAGCAAAAUGUGGUCAUUGAAAAAAGGGAGGCGAUAGAAUAUUAAAGCCUUCUUCUAAGUUGAAUGAAAUAAUGCAACGGCAGCAUUUUCUCUCUUCAGAUGCCUUCUACUAAAGACCUUCUGAGAGGGAAAGAGCUUUGGCCAACCCAGGGCAGCCGGCUAAGCUAGAGUCUAUGAGUUCAAAGUUAAGAAGGAUGCAAGAUUUGCAGGAGCAAACACAUCUGAGGUUCGGCUGAUAAGAUAAAGUUCAAAGUCAAAAGAGAAGUUAAUUUACUUUUCUCCAGCCCAACUUACAAAAAGGUGUACCCUGAAUCUGACAGUUUCUUCCAAGUGCUUAUAAGCAUUUUUCACAUAUGCCAGAAUUAUUCCUGUGAAGGGACGCAUCUACACUGUCGAAUUAAUUGAGUUUGACGCCACUUGAGUGUGCCUCACCAAGUUGCAACUCCCAUGCUUGCAUAGCUUUGAAUUGUGGCAGCUAAAGUGGUUUCAAACUGGUUUUCAACAGAAGUGUUCCAGCAGGAGUGUAUCACCUUUUCCUUCAAAUCUGUUUCCAACAUCCCAAAUCUUAAAACCGCUCCUUCUUUUUCCUUUGAUAUUUAUUAUACUUUUCUGACAAUUUCAUACUAGACUUGCAGUGACCAACCCAAAUGUACUAAGAGCAUAUAUAUUUGCUUUUCUACACAUUUGAAAUGUGCAAGGAGGAAAAGAAACGUUGGUUUUUUCAUCAUCCCAUCAGUUACUACAUUUGCCUUUUCCUGUAUCAUAUUUACACAAGUUGUUUGUUCAUUAGAAUUGCAUUGCUUUGUCUUUCUAUUUAAUUCAUGAUUGCAUUUCAUUUAAAUGUUUCAUUUCCUUAUUUGUGACCUGCAGCUUUUACGUUUUCCCAUGAAUUGGCAUGAGAGUGUCACGGUCUUUCUUACAGAAGCAAGUGACCUGAACAUCAGACAAACAAGGAAGUAUAAAAGCAAUUUCUGAAAAGACAUAAUGACGGGAUUAAGUAAUAUUUCCCUCCAUUUGCUAUGUUCACCGGUGUGUGACCAUCUCGGAUGUAGUCAAUGUUUAUAUGUAUGUAUGUAUGUAUCAGUGAGAGAGAAAGUUGCAGGCAAAAUGAUUAUUCCGGCCCUCCCCAUUACAUUUUCUUCCACUCCCUAAAUAUAUAGCACUUACAACUUCAUCUGAACAUUUAGUAAUACAGUAGAGGCACCCAAAGAAAAAAGGUAGACGAAUUCAGCAAGAUAAUAAAAACACCAAAGUGAGCCCCUAGCAUUGAGCCAUAGCAUUAAAUUGGUGUCAAACUGCAUUAAUUCUACAGUGCAGAUGCAUCUCAAGAGCAUCCUUCAGUUUGUCAGCUUUUUUCAUCACGUUCCCAAAGUAACUCUCCUUGCUGUUAUUAUUUGAGGCUUCUAUGUGGAAAGAUGAUCUAUCAACAUGUUGGACACAUUUGCUUAAAUGCCUCUUAGUUGAAAUUUGGGCAGCUUAAAAUGCCACCCUGUCUUUUCCUGCCCUCUCUGCUCUCCUUACCUUUAAAUGACCUAUUCUGUCUGUUGAGGGGAAAUUAAUGGCUCCAAAGGAGCAAAGACUGGACAGAUGACAUUUGGAACUCAUUCAUGACUAGGAAUGAUUGACUUCCAUUUGUUUCACUUGCCGUUAGUUGCAAAAUAAAUGCCUGCUCCUGUCCUGGUGCAGUCAGUGUCAGCCGUGACUGAGCCCCUUGAAACCAAUGCAUCAAUGCGAGGUGUGUUUAAAGGCCAAGCUAGUCAAAAUGGGAAAGCACAACGCCAGAAGCACAAAGAAAUGCAAAAAGGUAGUAGAUGUUGCAAAAUGCCUUAAGACUUUUUAAAAGAAUCGCUGUGUUCAUCUACACUGUAAAUUUAAUGCAGUUAGAUACUACUUUAACCAUGGUUCAAUGCUGUGGAAUUCUGGAAUUUGUAGUUUAGUGAGAUGCCAGCACUUUGACAAAGCUAAAGACUUUAUAAAAUUACAACUCCCAUUAUCUCCCAUUAUUCCAUAGCAUUGAGCCAUGGCAGUUAUAGUGGUGUCAAACUGCAUUAACACUGCAGUGUAGAUGCAUUCACUGUUGCAGAGAAUUAGUAGUUUAGUAAGAUGCCAGCACUUUGGCAGACAAAGCUAAAGACCGUAUAAAAUUACAACUCCCAGGAGUUUGAGACUCAAAUUCCAUAUUCCCCACAAAUGCCGGUCCCCAAUGUUCACGGUAGCCUCCAAUGAGUAGAGUAGUGCUUUUCAGUUUAAACCAUCUUUGCAACACGUUUAGCUGUAAAUUCUGGAGUAUCCCAGGGCUUCGGAGCAUUCAGAUAGCAGAAGUGGGUCUGUGUUCAUCAGCAUAGUAAAUGGGGAUGGAUUGUAUUCAUGUUGCCAUCAUUCCUAGCCAGCCAUGGAGUUCCAGCCAAGCUCCUAGUUGGCAAAAGCAGUGAUGAAGGCAAAGCAGAGAAGGUGAUGGUCCAGCAGUGUGGAUGUGUUCCUGGGCUUUCUGGAGAAUGACCUGGAUUUGGCGUUUACACUGGACUAAACUCCCACAUGUAGAUGGUGAAUUUCUUAAAAUCUGACUUUCAUAAUAUUGGUAAGGCUCGUAACUGCAAGGUUAGAGAAGCUACUGUCAGCAUCCAUGGUUGAGUGAAUGUAAAUUAUGUCGAAUAUAUUUUGUGUGUAUUUUGGGGAAAUUACACACUCUCAGCCUCAAAAAAAAACUGUAAAAGGCACUUGCAAUAGAGUCACCAUGACUUGUAAGAAUGCAUCUUGACUGUAGAAUAAAUGUAGUUUGAUACCAAUUUCAGCAUCAUGGCUCAGUGCUAUGGAAUCAUGGUUUUGUAAAACUGCAGCCCCUGUGAUGCCAUAACAUUACGCCACAGCAGUUGAAGCAGUCUCAAAAUUGCAUUAAUUCUGCAGUGGAGAUGCAACGUGAGAUGGCUUCAAGGCACGCAAUAAUAACAGCAUUAUCGUGAUUUAUGUAUAUUCUUUCUGAAAACCUGUACCAGAGCUCAGAAGUAACCAGCUUAGGUAAAGGUAAAGGUUUCUCCUGCCGUUAAAUCCAGUCAUGUCUGACUCGGGGUUGGUGCUCAUCUACAUUUCUAAGCCGGAGAGCUGGUGUUGUCCAUAGAAACCUCCAAGGUAUGUGGCCGGCAUGACUGCAUGGAGCGCCAUUACCUUCCCGCCAGAGCGGUACCUAUUGAUCUAAUCACAUUUGCAUGUUUUCGAACUGCUAGGUUGGCAGGAGCUGGAGCUAACAGCGGGAGCUCAACUGCUCCCGGGAUUUGAACCUGGAACCUUUCUGUCUGCAAUUUCAGCAGCUCAGUGCUUUAACUCACUUCGCCACCGGGGCUCCAGUUUACAAACAAGCAAUUUUCAAAUAGAUUGCUGUACCGCUCAAAGGAUGCUUUGUUCACCUCCUGACCCUAUGAAGAAAUGGAUCUUGCCCCCAAAGUUGUCACAGGAGUGUGUACUAAGUACCAUGGUAACCUCAAGUCAUUUGGCUGCUUAAGGCCAAGAAGAAAAUGUUCAUUCCAGUCCAUUUAAGGUGCAGCCAGGGGUUCAUCCAUACUGAUCACAUAAUACCAUUUGAAGCUAGUUUUAAACCACAUAGCACCAAAGUGCGCUGCAGCAGAGCUUGAAGUACUUAAAGCGCAUCAAGUAAAGUCAGGAAUGUCCAAAAUUAAGUCUCUUAAUGCACUUCAGCAAGUUCUAAAUGUAAACCAUAUUGCAUGGUGAAAUCAGCUUAACAGCAUGUGAAGUACAUUGUAGACAUCCACCCAUGCUGAAGCGCAUUGUAAAAUUCAGAACAUGGGAAUGGGCUGCUGAAAAACACCCCAAAGGAAUGGCUAGGCAUCUGGUAACGCCACUGCUGUCACUUUCCCUUCUUGUUUCCUCCAGAGCACUGGUACACUUCUUGCCCAGAAAUGGGAACAAAAAUGCAUUCUCUGGCUUCUGUAACCAGUUCGAGACAUCAUCUGUGGUUAAUGUUAUCACCUUUCUGGUCUCAAAUUUGUUCCCAAAAUGUUAAUCUAAUCCACCUUGCAGCGAAACCAGUUCCAGACUGACCUAAGGACCCUUCUACAUUACUCAUUUAAUUCAGUUUCAAAGUGGUAUUGAAGUUUUUUUUUCACGCUGCGGUUGAUUUUAUCAGAGUGGCUUUGCUAGGCACACGCAGCAGAAGUCACUGACGAGGAAGCUCUGGAUAAAUGAUGACACUGCAGUCUUCUGUUGUCUAUCAGAAGUUUACUUACGAACGGAAAUCUACAAGACGAUACACAGCUCUCACGCAGGCACACACAGGAAGGGACAGAGAGAAAAGAUAGGAAGUAGAGGGCUAUUCAUCUCAGCCUCUGCUGUCUGAUGCAAUCCAAGCUUAACCCUUUACACACUGGUAUAGUAAGCAGUGUAUGAUGCAAUCACAGUGUAUGAUGCAAUCUCCAGCACACAUUGCACCACCAUGACUCAAUUACAUUUAAACAACUCUAUAUACAAUCAUUCCCACUUCAACAGAUUUCAUAGGAAAUCUUGGAAUCAGAUUGAAGCUCAGAUGGUGAUUUCACAAACCAUAGAACAAUGAUGCACAUGAAAGGCUUUCUUUCACAUGCUUUUGUGGGAGUUUGUUGGCUGGCUGUUACAGUUUUAAGCUAUUUUCGAGCUUCAUUCAGUGGUCAGUGUACGUGAGCCCUUGGUUAUUUUGGCACAUUAUAGAAAAAAUUACAAUAAAAAUGGAAUUAAAAAUUUGCUCUUUUUUUUGGAAGCAGAGCCUUGUUUUGCCCAAUGGUAUGGCUGGCCAUGUUUUGUAGGACAGCUAUCUCUAGUAUAAAACCUGGGUCUACUUACCAAAAAAUGCAAGAUAUGCUAAUGACUUUUAGAAUCAGCCACAGUUCUGACCUUGCACCGUCUCGCCUGUGUUAUAUUUUGGAGUUCUGCUUGGAGUCGCACAGAGAUAUUUGUUUCUAACCACGCGGAGCUUUUGUGCCAUAUUCUUUUAAACUAGCACAACAAGGAGGCCUUGAGUUGCCUUUUAAAGCUUGUUUUUGAGGACCGGGAUAAAAAAAAGAGGCUGCUUGGGAAAGAGUUGCUCUUAUCCGCCUGUCUGACAUGGCCUUGUCUUGUUUUUGUUGCUGAAGAAAUGGCUCCUUUCUCUCUCACUUGUUAUUUGGAAAGAGUCUGAAAUAAUACAAUAUUUCAGCGUUCUGCACACAUCUCCAAGUGGAAAAGUAAACUAAAGGAGCAGAUGAAAUACAGAAGACCUGCAGUAUACCUAUAACAACAUAGGUAGUUAUAACUAGAAUUUAUUUGCUAUGACAUCCAACUAUGUUGUAUUGUUUCUCCUUUCUCGCUGAACCAACUGCCUGAAUCACUGUGAGGGCAUUGGGAUCUUCGCAAAUAUUUCAACUUUUUUAUGGUUUAUAGUUUUAACUAGUUUAAAUCUUUUUGGUCAUUCAAUCACUUUAUUUUGUGAACUUUUAACUAUUUUUUUUUUGUUAUUCUCUUGUACACUGUCUUGAAUCUCAAACUGAGAAAAAGGCCAGGAAUAACAGCAGGAGUAGCAACAACAUUUUUCAAGAAGGAAUACUACCAAAAUGAUUUAUAUAACAUACGGUGUGCAUCCACACUGUACAACUAAUACCUUUUGACACCACUUUAACUGUAAUGACUCAAUUCUGUGGAAUUCUGGGACUUGUAGUUUACUGCGACAGCACACUCUGGCAGAGAAGGCUAAUGGUCUUGUUACAACACAGAGCCCAGAAUAGUUAGUGGAGUGAGUGACUAUCAACAAUGGGCAGCAAUGUACACUGAAGCACUCCAGACACGCAUCUGGACUCUAGCUAAGAAGUCCUGGAGCACAUUAGGAAUAUCCAAUGCGCAUCAGAGGCACCUGAUGCACAGAUACAGGAUGGAUGACACCUGUCUUCAGAACAAUACAUACGAAAGGGAUCAAAGAAUCUUAGUAGACUUCAAGCUGAACAUGUGUCAACAGAGUGAUACAGAAGCUAGAAACGCUAAUGCAGUUCUAGACUGCAUCAGUUGGUAUAUUGUGUCCAGACUGAGGGAAUUGUUCUACAUUAUUCUGCUUUGGUCAAAUUUCACCUGGAAUCCUUCGUCCAGUUUUGAAAACUACAAUUCAAGAAGGAUAUAGAUAAGUUAGAAUGUGUCCAGAGAAGGGAGACAAAAUGCUCAAAAGUCUGGAAUCCGAGCCCUGUGAGGAGUAGCUGAGGGAACUAGGUAUAUUUAGCUUAGAGAAAAGAAGACUGAGAGAAGACAUGAUAGCCAUGUUUCAAUAUUUUAAUGAUGUCACAUUGAGGAAGGGCCUGCACUGGCAACUAGGAUACAGAGCAAUGGAUUAAGAUUGCAGGAAUCCACCUAAACUUUAGGAAAAACCUCCUGACCUUCGAAGGUUUUAUUUCGUGUCAAAAGCAUUGCAUAAUAAAUAAGUUUAAAAGUGAUGAAAUAAAGGAAUCACAAGCAGCUAAAUAGUUUUAGACCAAAAGUGGGUAACAGUGACCGUGUUGGGGUUGUUGUAUGUCUUUCAGGCUGUGUGGCCAUGUUCCAGAAGUAUUCUCUCCUGACGUUUCGCCCACAUCUAUGGCAGGCAUCCUCAGAGGUUGUGAGGUAUGGAUAAACUUAGGCAAGGCAAGGAAAGAAUAUAUAUCUGUGGAGAGUCCAGGGUGUAGCAAGAGUCCUUUGUCACUAGGAAGCCAGCAUUAAUGUUUCAGUUAAUCACCCUAAUUAGCAUUGGAAAGGUUUUGUCUCUUGCCUGGGGGCAUCCUUUGUUCAGUCAUUAGCUGCCCUCUGCCCUCAGAGUGUUGGUUCCCAUCUACUGUUUUGAUUUUAGAUUUUUUUUAAUACUGGUAGCCAGAUUUUGUUCAUUUUCAUGGUUUCUUCCUUUCUGUUGAAGUUGUCCAAAUGCUUGUGUAUUUCAAUGGCUUCUCUGUGUAGUCUGACAUGAUAGUUGUUGGAGUGGUCGAGCAUUUCUGUGUUCUCAAAUAAUAUACUAUGUCCAGGCUGGUUCAUCAAGUGCUCUGUGUUAAAGCUACCAUGUUGUCCAUAGCUUUAAACAACAACUCUGUACAUGAGGUAGGACAUUGUGGGCAAGCAUACAUAUGCAGAGUUUUUUGUUCUGCUCCAAAGUCACACAAGGUGGAGGAUUCCUCCAAGUAGUGCCACCUUGCCAAGUUGUCUUUUGAUCUGCCCACUCCGCUUCUGAGUCUGUUCAGGGACUUCCAAGUUGCCCAUUCUUGGUUUGCCCCUGGAGGAAGACCCUCAUGAGGGGCCAUCCAGUUGGAAUUGCCUGGUUUAUCUGCCCAGAGGGACACUUGCUGUUGGUGGAGGAACAUUAAGAGGAGUGGUGGUUCUCAUGAAGCCCUUCCUUGAUUUGAGUCUGGUGGGAGGAGGGUGAUAGUCAUGCAGUGGGUGGCUUUCGCAAUGUUCGACUUUACUUUUCUCACAGUUAACAGCAACUUCCCUUCGCACAUCGGGGGGUGGGGUGGGGGUGGGAAUGCCAGCUAACUUGUAGAGUUUAUCAACAGGUGUAGGUUUAAGGCAUCCUGUGAUUAUUCUGCAUGCUUCGUUAAGUGCUAUGUCCACCUGCUUCGAAUGGGCAGACUUUUGCCAGACUGGACAGGCGUACUCAGCAGUUGAGUAAGACAAGGCCAGGGCUGAUGUUCUUAUUACUUGUGGGUCUGCACCCCAUGUGCUGCCAGUCAGUUUCCGCAGGAUGUUGUUGCGUGCAGCUACUUUGUGCUUGGUGUUCAUGCAGUGUUUCCUAUAUGUUAGUGUUCAAUCUAAGGUGACACCAAAAUAUUUAGGAUGGAAACAAUGUUCGAGCUCUUGGCCUUCCCAAGUAACUUUUUUCAGAGGUUUUAAGCAGGGAGUGGGUGACCAUCUGUCAGGUAUGCUUUGAUUGAGUGUUCUGGGAGGGAAGGAGGUUGGCCUGGAUAGCCCUUGGGGUCUCCUCCAGUUCUAUGAUUCUGUGAUUAUAUGUGCACUACAGAAGCCCCGGUGGCGAAGUGCAUUAAAGCACUGAACUUGCAGACCGAAAGGUCCCAGGUUCAAACCCCGGGAGAGGCAGGAGCGACCGCUGUUAGCUCCAGCUCCUGCCAAACUAGCAGUUUGAAAACAUGCCAAUGUGAGUAGAUCAAUAGGUACCGCUCCAGCGAGAAGGUAACGGUGCUCCAUGCAGUCAUGCCGGCCACAUGACCUUGGAGGUGUCUAUGGACAACGCCGGCUCUUCGGCUUAGAAAUGGAGAUGAGCACCAACCCCCAGAGUCAGACACGACUGGACUUAACGUCAGGGGAAACCUUUACCUUUUAUGUGCACCACAAUACACUUUCUGGUGUCUGGAUUAUUACUGUAUAUGCAUGUAUGUGACUAAGUUUCUGUGGGAUCACUACUUGUGUAAGUGUGUGUUAAGAGAAAAACACCUGGUCAAUUACAAAUCAUGGUUGAGUAAUUGGAACAAUCAGGGCUAACAGGCUUGAGCCACUCCCUGAAUGGGGUAUAUCUGGGAAAUGUUUGCAAUGUCUUUUGGGGACUUACUGGGGGACUUACUGAAUGCUUGCUGAGAGCCUACUAUGAAGAUGCAUGAAUUUAAUGCAAGAGACUUUAUGUGAGUUUUUGUUGCUGGAAGUUUUAUUAUGAUUUUUGACUCUGCUACUUAAGAGUAAAUUUUGAUUUUCUCUUCCAUUUUCGUGGCUUGUUUUUCUUUUGCUCAUUGUGGAUAAGAAACAAAGGACUGGAUAAGUCUGGACAGGACUGCACGCAGUUUGUUUUUCUACAAACCCGUAACAUGGAUGUGCAUCUUUACAAUUCACUAGUAUAGUUUCAUUGCAUUUUCUGCAAUGUAGCAUCAGAUUUGUAAAGAUAUGAAACAAAGACUGAUGCCAAACCUUUUGUUUUCAUGUACUCAGAAGUGUUACAAGAGUACAGCAUCAUUCAGAUGUGGAUGAUCAAUUCCUGCCCUCUUGAAUUCUCAAAUGGUUUCAGUCUCAGCCAGCAGAUGGAAGAUUUUUCCUGUUUGGGGAGCUCUGAGAUCUGCUGCCAGUAAGAAUAGAUGAUAUAAGAAUAGAAAAACCAACAGUAUCAGCACCACGUGCUCUUCCAUUGUGCUUCACAGUUGGUUUGAUUCUUUUUUAAAGGAGAGGGCAUGUAAGGUAAUGCUUAGAAAAAGGAGUAUCUCUAAACUUUUUCCAAAUCACCGCCAGCUGGACUUUGUACCUUGGAUUUUCUCAAAGGAGCUGUAUUGGUGACUCUCUUUUUCAUUGUACCGAAAAAGGCGCUGAACUUUCAGAUGGAGUGGGUGGUUGGGGAGGACCAAUUCAAAGGAGAAUAGAGGUAAUUUGUAAAAGUUGAGACUGGCAUGAGCUUAGAGCCAAGGUGGCAGCACAAAGCACAUGCCACCCGACUUGGCACAUCAUCACAUAUAAUUUAAUGUGUGGGGUUGAUUUGCCACACUGUUGGGUUUCACUGAAACAUCUGCAGAAUCUGGAGAAAGAAUAGCGAUUGUUUCUCAUCCUCCGCCCAUCAAUCCGCUCCUGAUUUCAGGCUAUUUUUGAAAUGUCUUGUUAUACAUAUUCUCAGUUAACUGCCAGCUCAGAUUAGUCAUUUAGAAUUCCUGUUCUGCAUCACACACAAAAAACGGAAGGCAGAUUUUCAUGAAUGACUUUGAAAAUUACAGCAAGAUCACAUGGAGGGAGGCUGCUUUUGUUCAAACGCAGGCAUCACAUUCGUGAUUAUUUUGCUCAACUGUCAUCUUAUGAUGUCUCUGUGCUGGUGCCUUGACUUACUUCCUAGAGUCUUCACACACCAAGUUGACUUCGCUUCUUUCUAUUUGUUGCUUAUGGAAAACUGGAUGAGAAGAACUAAUCCGUGCAAGGACUAGAAUACAGUGGCAUCUGUAUGUUGAUUUGAGUGAAAAGAAACUAGAAUAAUAGGCUAUAAAAGAAAGUAUUUUAGAAAAAGUUAAUGAUAAAUGUAUAUUGGUUUGUAAGUCCUUCGUUAAGUUUGCUUCUGGUUUUAAUAAUAAAAAUAAAUGGUUUUGAUUCUGGGGGCAUUUUUGUGGGGUUCAAGUAGGUUUUGAAAGUAUAUUAAGGGCUUAUUGGGGCUGGGGGAAAAAUCUGCAUUUUGCAGUGCUUGGAAGCCAUGGGGAGUUGCAAAUCACCAAGAAAAAAAAGUAAAAUAUUUUUAGGGGCUUCAAAGCUACACUUUGGCUCCUAAAGUUAGCCUGUGUCACUUUACCCACCCUUGUGGUUUAUCCUUACCAAGGAAUGGGUGAAAUGGAGCUGAAGAGCAUUUUGAGGAACUUGUUUUUAGCUCCCUAGAUUUAUUCAUCCAUAACCAUGUGAGGAGGAUCAGCCACCCAGGAGGCUGCCACCACUAUUUUCUUCCCAGGGAUUCAAAAAGGGCACAAGUAGCACUAUGGCAGAUAGAGUUGAAGGGGUCAGCUCUUCCUUUAGGUUCUCCCAGAAUGGACUAAGCUCUCACCUUUCUCUUCUACUCAUUUUUGAUAAGAGUAAGAUGCAGUACUUACCCUGGCCUGUGAAUAAGUCGACCCCGGGUUUUUGUGUCAACUCUUUCAUUUUUACUAAGGAUCCAUCUCCACUGUAGAAUUAAUGCAGUUCAAUACCGCUUUAACUGCUAUGGAAUGGCUUAAUGCUAUGGAAUCCUGGGACUUGUAAUUUGGUGAGGCACCAGCACUCUAUGGUAGAGAAGACUAAAAACCUAGUGAAACUACAUCUCCCAGGAUGCCUUAGCAUUGACCUAUGGUAAGUAAAGCAGUUUCAGACUGCCAUAAUGCUAUGAUUUCUAGACUUAAUACAUGAGUAUGUACAGUUGUUGGGUAUAAUUAGGUAUACCUAGUUAAGUAGAUGUAGAAUACUGGCCCUUAUUUUCCCAUAGAAGACUUUUGAGAUCAUUGGCUAUCUCUGGCUUCCAUCAUCUUCACAAGAUAGAUUGCUACAUGAGUAUGUAUAGUAGUUAGGUAUAAUGAGGUAUACUUAGUUAAGUAGAUGUAGAAUACUGGCCCUUAUUUUCCCAUAGAAGACUUUUAAGAUCAUUGGCUAUCUCUGGCUUCCAACAUCCUCACAAGAUAGAUUGCUGUUGUGUGCCUUCAAGUUGUUUCUGAUGUAUGGUGACUCCAAGGUGGCCCUAUCACUGGGUUUUUAGGGUUGAGUGACUCACUCAAGGUUACCCAGUGGGUUUCCAUUGCUGUGUGGAAUAUGGAACCCUGAUCUCCAGAAUCGUAGUCCAUUGCUCAAACCACUAUCACAUGCUUCUGUCUUCACAUGCAGAUGGGUAGGUGAUCACUUCGGUAGCUGGUCCAUGGUCUCUGCUACUUCAAUCUUUUUUUGCCAGCUGCUUAGCAUUUUUUUCUUCAGCUAUUAAACAAUUGCUGCAACAAAGUCUUAAUGAAUAUGUAUGUGAUUUGCUGUAAUUCUAUCCACAUUAUUAUAUUUUAAAUGCUUUUACAUUGUUUUAAAAUUAGUGCUAUUUUUAAUGGGCAUCUCUGCAUGGGGCUCAUUCCCCCUUUGGUUCUAAAAUGCAUUAAAACUGUUUUAAUGUAGUGCUCGGUUUUAAUAUGAUAGCUCAUAUAAUUGUGCCUAUAAUUGUAAUAAUAUAGUUGUAAUUCUUGUAAAUUGUGUUAUAAUUGUAAUAAUAUAAUUAUAACACUUAUAAAUUGUGUUAUAAUUGAUUGAAUCAUAGCUGUAUUUGAAUUCAUGUUGUACACUGCAUUGGAUCCUAUGAGAUAUGAAAUAAAUAGACUCAAAGGUAAGGACCAUUGCCAACCUCGGUAACUGUAAUCCUAACAACAAGUUUUAUCUACUGCAUACUGCAUAUUUUAACUUGGGUACAUACAUUACAAUACUUCAGGAUUCCAGAAGACCUUCAUUUCUCAUUUCUAAAUAAUGUUUUCAUGCCUGAUUCCUGUUUGGAGAAGCAAGCCAUGGGUUUCUUUUCUGUGGUUUGUUUCUUCUGGUUCCUGAACCUUCCCAAAUGUCUUUUCUCCAUCAAACCAGAGCCAAAUACUUCCAUAGGUUGAUAGGCAACUUGAAGGCAUACACACACAUAAGGACUGACUGACAUGGGUGUGAAAGGGUCAAAUUUAAGUAUGUGAUUCAGUCAGAGUAAAGUUUAUAGAAUAAUCAAAGUACAUGCACCCAAAAAGCACCAGAUCCCUUCUGAUAUUGGAAAGGUCCACUCUUGUUUGUACUUCGAUAGGAGACUGCCAAUGAAUACCAGGUGCUAUAAGCUAUAUUUGAGUAAAGGAAUGGGGAAAACUAUCUCUGUGUGUUUCUUACCUGAGAAAACCUUGUGAAAUUCAUGAGCUCAACAGGAGAUUUUAAGGCACAUGCACAAGAUCUGAGUUUGGUUCCUGAUUUUGGGAAAAGGUGCCUUUUUGGACUUUAAUGCCACGCAUCCCCUGGCCAGCUCUGCUAUGUUGGGAUUUUGGGAGUGACAAUCUAAAAAAGAACCUCCCCGUGGUGCAGAAAAACUGUCAAUGAAUAAUAAUAAUAAUAAUAAUAAUAAUAAUAAUAAUAAUAAUAAUUUAUUAUAAUGCAAUUUAUUAGGAUUUCUAAAGGCAUGGGACAGUGAUAAAGUGCAGGAUGCUAGGAUAUAGAUAACGGUAGGGGCUCACUCUGAAGGAUCUUCUUAAUCAAAGGUGGCUUGGAUACCAAAUGCUGUAGGCUCUGUUUCAGAGGAAGGAAAUGGCAAAACCACUUCUGAAAAUUCUUUGCCUAAGAAAACUGUAUUAAAUUCAUGGGAUCUCCAUUGGUAAAGGUAGAGGUUUUCUCCUGACAUAAAGUCCAGUCAUGUCCGACUCUGGGGGUUGGUGUUCAUUUCUAAGCUGAAUAGCCGGUGUUGUUCAUAGAUGCCUCAAAUGUCAAGUGGCCAGCAUGACCGCAUGGAGCACCAUAACCUUCCCACCAAAGCAGUACCUAUUGAUCUACUCACAUUUGCAUGUUUUCGAAUUGCUAAGUGGGCUGCAGGAAACUCACCCCACUCCCUGAAUUCAAAUCCAGCAGCUCAGCAGUUUGACUGCUGCACCACCGUGGGUCUCCAUAAGUUGACACAAAUUUGAAGGCAGAAACAUACAAUACAUAUAAUUAUAUGAAUGCACAAACUUUGUUAUAGAAAAGGAUAUUCAAGUGGAAAGGGAUGGACAUUCUGUUGGUCAAACUGGCCUGUACCUUGAUCCUUUUUCUGGAGAUGCCAGGGACAGCACCUGCCACCCUUCCCUAUGCAAAGCAUGCACUGUUGUCGAAAAGCCUUCUCUUUUGCCUCAAUGAUUUUACAGAGAAAUGGGUUCUCAAAAGAAUCUUGGAUUGAUUGAAGCCAAACAGUUUCUGGAUAUGAUUUCUUUUCCAGGGCCAAUCUAUGUAAUUACGCUUCUUAGCCGUGAGGCAUUCCCGGAUCAAACAAAAUCUCCUUUCUUAUCCUGUCUGAGAGAGUGCCUUCCUCUUCGAAAUGCACACAAGCUUCAACCAGGAGAGUAUCGAGCCAUAAAAAGGAGCGGAAUCAAAAGGCAAUGGAGAAGAAAGCCAUGCACAAUGCCCAGGGAAACCAUAGUGUGCCACAGAGGCACCCUCCUACCAUGCGCUGCGGCUGGAUUUCAUCAACAGGUGGAGGGUGGGGAGGGAGAGAAGGCUGGCGGGUGAAACAACGAGUCUCCACUUUCUUUUCUUUUUCAAUACACCGCUAGCAAUUUUCUACACUUCAAAGCUGGGGCAACCUGCCCAGGAACAUGUCGACCUUUGGCACAGUUAUUUCGCUUUCCAAAACUUAAAAACACUUGACUGAAAAUGGAACGAGGGAGGGGGGCUGACAUUUAUUUCUUUCAGCCUUUAGUUUAGUCUCUUUACCCUGCUAAGAAGGUUACAAAAAGAUGGUUCUUGGAAGUAAUUGAAGUCCCGAGUGAAGCAGCUUGUGAAACUGACUCAUUCCAGGUCAAAGCAUUCAGCUUAAGGUGCUCUGUGGUCAAGGCCCUAUUAGACAUUACUUGCCCAAGAAACCCUGUGAAAUGCAUGGAGUUGCCAUAAGUCAACAGAGGAUAGGAGCCCAGUGGCGAAGUGUGUUAAAGCACUGACCUGCUGAACUUGCAGACCAAAAGGUCUCAGGUUCAAAUCCCAGGAGCGGAGUGAGCGCCCGCUGUUAGCUCCAGCUUCUGCCAACUUAGCAGUUCGAAAACAUGCCAAUGUGAGUAGAUCAAUAGGUACCACUCCCGCCGGGUAGGUAAUGGCACUCCAUGGAGUCAUGCCAGCCACAUGACCUUGGAGGUGUCUAUGGACAACGCCAGCUCUUUGGCUUAGAAAUGGAGAUGAGCACCAACCCCCAGAGUCAGACAUGACUGACUUAAUGUCAGGGGAAACCUUUACCUUUUAACAUGCCUGUACGUACAAGGCAUAAAGCUCUACCACUACUUAUGGUGGAGAUCUGAGAAGGAGGCACAAGCCAGCCAUAUAUGGGGUGAGAUAACUCUUCCAGGAGCUGUUUGGAUCUGAGUUUCAGGUGCCACACACCUUUGGUUGUGCAACAACAUACAAGCAAAAUUCAAUUGACAAAGCCUUUGACAAUGAAGUUAUCUUUAUGCUGUAUCCAACCACGUUUUCUUCCUCAUCAUUCUUGUACUUCAGUGGUUGCCAACCUUUGGUCCUCUAGGUGUUUUGGACUUCAUCUCCCCUAAUUCCUAAUAGCUGGUAAGUCACCUGAGAUUUCUGGGAGUUGAAAUCCAAAACAACUGGAGGGCCAAAGGUUAGGAACAACUGCUUAGCUGAAAUGUUGUUAAUGUUUGAAGAAGUGCCAACACGGAGGAUUCUGAAAGAGAUGCAGACCCUUUGCAGCCAUGUCUAUAGUGGCAAAAAAGGCAGAUUUAUCCCAAAGCAGGUACUGGCCAGGACAAUCCUCAUUCUUAUUUUGCCUUUACCGUAGCUUUGCCCCAAGCUAAGCAAAGCCAAGCAAAUGUCAAGUGUGUCCUUGGGUUCUUUUGCUAUGUGGACAGCUGGAUCAGGUCUAUCAUUUUUAGUGAACUUCCUAACUGUGAGAGCUGUUCAGCAGUGGAACCCUCUGCCCCGAACUGUGGUGGAGACUCCUUCUUUGGAGGCUUUUAAACAGAGGCUGGAUGGCCAUCUGUCGGGGUGCUUUGAAUGCGAUUUCCUGCUUCUUGGCAGGGGGUUGGACUGGAUGGCCCAUGAGGUCUCUUCCAACUCUAUUAUUCUAUGAUUCUAGGUCUAAUUUUGCUGUAUCAGUUGACCGAAUCGCAGAAGCUGUGCCCUAUGGUUUCCAAAAUAUCCACUUACCAUAUUGGCUGGGAAAUUCUGGGAACUGUAGUUCAUCAAUGUAACCCUCUAAAUCCCUCCUUUGCCAUUGUUUCUAAAAUAUUUAGGAAUGUUCUAAAAUAAAGAGCUUUCCAAACCUCUUCACAGGUCUAUCAAUCAAUCCCUGAACUGUUGACAUUUCCAGUUUGGAGGUACAAAGUGUGUGUGAUCUUGCCUCCUUUGAGAAUUAAUAGUGUGCUUGUGUACCAGUUAUGGAUAUGUACUGCAAGUGUAUCUAAUACUGUUAAGUAAUGGACAGGCACUAAUGUCUUUUUCAUUUUCUGUGAUACAGGUUUAAAGCUGGCUUUCUUUGGCAAUCUCAUAAGGAAAGAUGAUAGUGUUUGACAAUGCUGAAGGCCAUAAGGAAAGAUGAAUAUCACGAUAGGGAUCGGUUAAGUCAACCAAGGUCAAGACCUGCUAUAAUGGUGUCUUGGAUUCAUUCACUCAUAGAGUUGCUGUAAGCCAACUUGACAACAGCUAAAACAAGAUACAGAAGUAGACAUGAUUCAUGAGAGUGCCAUCCUGGAGUAUUUGACUAUUACAGGUAUAGAAAUGUGAUACCUGAAAUGCUUUUGGAUCUGUCUCCAUUCCUCGUUCUCAAUCUCUUUUUGUGGCUGAAACUUCCAGAAUUGUCAGAAUGUUCAUGCUAUUAUACUGAAAUUAUUAUUUGCAAUUCAACAUUUAUAUUUUUAGAUGUGUGGGAUUUUGGUAAUUUCCAUGCAAGAAUGAAGAUUUGAAUGAAUUCUUCCACAAUUCAGACCUAUGUUUUUAUUAUUUUCUAUCAAUUCCAUACCCAGUGGUGCAGCAGGUUAAACUGAUGAGCUGCUAAACUUGCUGACCGAAAGGUAGGUGGUUCGAAUCUGGGGAGCGGAGUGAGCUCCCGCGGUUAGCCCCAGCUUCUGCCAACCUAGCAGUUCGAAAACAUGCAAAUGUGAGUGGAUCAAGUUACCACUUCAGUGGGAAGGUAACGGCACUCCAUGCAGUCAUGCCAGCCACAUGACUUUGGUGGUGUCUAUGGCUCUUCAGCUUAGAAAUGGAAGGGAGCACCAAUUCCCAGAGUCGGACACCACUGGACUUAAAAUCAGGAGAAAAUCUUUACCUUACCAUUAUCAAAUGCUAUGGGUGAAACAUGGUGAGGGAAUUCCUAUAAUGCUUUGCUUCUGAACCGGCUAGAGACAUAGGAGUUGGUAGCACUGGCCAGUUUGAGUCUUCGCAAGGUCCAGGACUGGAAUUGUUGGAAGAUGUGAUCCAAUAGCAGCUGGAGGCCCACACAAUCUCCAUUCCAGUAUAAAAUGACAAAAAUCCUAUGUAUGAGCCUAUGUGGUUUGCAGGGUCAGCAAAGAAGAAUUUGAGAAAAGCUCUGGAGAGACUAGAGCAGGGGUCCCCAAACUAAGGCCCGGGGGCCGGAUGCGGCCCUCCAAGGUCAUUUACCUGGCCCCCGUCCUCAGUUUUGUAAUAUAAUAUUUUUAUAUCCAUUUUAAUAAUAUAAUAUAUUGUAUAUACAUAUAAUAUUGAUAAUAAUAUUAUGUUAUACAAUAUAAUACUACUACUAAUAAUAAUAAUACCAUAUAAUAAUAUUAAUUAUAUGUUAUAUAUUACAUAUUAUAUAAUAGUAUAGUGGUGUAGUUCACUAUAUAAAUAUAUAAUGCUAAUAUUGUGCUAUGCUAAUAAUAUAAUGUAUUGUAUGUACAUACAGCUGCUCUGAGUCCCCUUCGGGGUGAGAAGGGUGGGAUAUAAAUGUAGUAAAUAAAUGCAGUAAAUAAAUAAUUAAUUUUAGACUUAGGCUCACCCAAAGUCUGAAAUGACUUGAAGGCACAGAAUACCAACAAUCCUACUUAACUUGACUAUCUCAUUGGCCAGAAGCAGGCCCACACUUCCCAUUGAAAUCCUGAUAGGUUUAUGUUGGUUAAAAUUGUUUUCAUUUUUAAAUAUUGUAUUAUUCUUUCGUUGUUGUUGUUGCACUACAAAUAAGACAUGUGCAGUAUGCAUAGGAAUUUGUUCGUAUUUUUUUUUUCAAAAGAUAAUUCAGCCCCUCAACAGUCUGAAAGAUAGUGGACCGGCCCUCUGCUUCAAAAGUUUGAGGACCCCUGGACUAGAGAGACAUUUCCAUUGUUGAGCAAUGAAUGCAACCAAGUCCUUAGCAGCAGCAGUCUUCCCAAAGGGAUGUAUGCACUCUAGUGAGAUCUUUGUUUUUCUGGGUGUGCUGAUUCACAAAGAGCCAGACACAGUGAGUGACUCUCCAUAACUGAUUCAUAGGUUUGGUCUUCUGGAUGGCCAGUUGCUUAAUACUGCCUAUAUUAGGAGUCUGCAAAGUUUUUUUCAUUGUGCUUGGGUUCUCCUUUUUGACUUCCACCCAAGCAUCAAGUUCAAGAAGACUUUUAACAUGUUCCUUUCUAUAAGAAAGAACUAAAGCCACCAUUAUCAGACAGUAGCCUAAAUCCAAAUAAAAGUUGCCAAUUCCUUCUCCAAAAUGAGUGGGACCAGAAGUGUUUUGCAUUUUCCUUUACUGAUUUUGGAAUACCCAUAUUCUCAUAUACAGUGGUCCCUUCAUAUUUGCAGGAACACAAAGUUCAUUUAUGUUUCAUGCAUGUCUUACACCCAUAGCCUGAAGGUAAUUGUAUACAACAUUUUAAACAUUUUUGUGCAAUAACAAAGUUUGUGUACAUUGAUCCAUCAGAAAGGAAAGGUGUCACUUUCUUAGCCACAUAUGGAGACAAUUUUGGAUUUCAGAAUUCUGGAUAACUAUGGGAACUGUAGUUUUACAAAGUCUUCAGCCUCCUCUGACAAAAAGUGCCAGUGCCUCACCAAACUACAAAUACCCUAAUUACUUAGCAGUGACUUGUAGGAAUAAAUGUAGUAUCAAACUGCAUUAAUUCUACAGUGUAGACCCACUCUUUGGAAUUAGCACAUAGGCUUACAUAAAAGUUUCCCUGUUACAUGGCAUUUACAGUUCAUUUUGGGAGAAUAAAUAUGAGAUAUCUUGCCCUAAAUAUUUUAUUUAAAGAAAAUAUUCCGCAAUUCAAUUUUCUCUGACUUUUUGCGGAGGGAAAAAAAGAGGCUUUGGAAAAGAUUAUUUUUAUCCAAAGCCUUCACAUCUCUGAAAACUAUUUCAGAGAGGGCUAGAUAGACAUGUAGCCUGACCUGACAUAAGGCAACAUCCUCUAUUCGUACUCUGUUCUAGGCAUAUAUUCUAAAUCUAUGUAGAGCCAAUGUGAAAAACAAACAAACCAGAAAUGCAAAUGCGAAACCCACAAUCCCCAAAUCUCUGGCUGCUGACAGCUGAGGAUAAACAGGAUGGGUUCAUGUCCCCAUAGAUCAGUGGCGAUACACUUCUCUCUCUCUCUCUCUCUCUCUCUCUCUCUCUCUCUCUCUCUCUCUCUCUCUCUCUCUCUCUCUUUGGCAACACUAAACAAAUUUAAAAUACAAGACUGAGAUGCUUGACUCACAAUUCAAUACCUAUGCAGAUGCCUUGCCCCACGAGCAAGGAAGUAUAAUGCUGUGAAUCUGGAUGUGAAUGUAUCCUGACUUGAAUUUGCAAAAUAAACCUUUUGGGCUACAA